This is a long non-coding RNA of Humulus lupulus (European hop), 409 nucleotides long. RefSeq lists it as uncharacterized. The record is from RefSeq and is a predicted model, not a curated record. NCBI's taxonomy places the organism in Eukaryota, Viridiplantae, Streptophyta, Magnoliopsida, Rosales, Cannabaceae. The transcript has 2 exons.
AAGGUCAUGGGUCAUGCUAGGUUCAUGGAGAUGAAUUGAAAGUUGAGGGCUUAUCGCUUACGGGUUUGUCGAGCUUGCUGGUCAGGGCUUGGGGUGGAGGAUGGUUUGUAGAAAGGACAAAAGGCAUGAGCUGUUUGACGACAACAAUGUAGAGGAUGAUUCGCAAGAGUGAUUGAUGAUGAUGAGUUUUGAUUUUUCUAGUUCAGAGGUAGAAAGUGAGAUUGAUGAUGGUCUUUUGGUCAUUUAUUUUUUUCUUUAAUUGUUGUUGUUGAUGUUGAUUUCUGGGUUUGAGACUGUCAAUAGCCGAGAAUGGCUUGAGACUGUCAAUAGCCGAGAAUGGGAAGGAUGAAGAGAGAGAAAAUAAUUUUUUUCUUUAUUUUAUUUUUCAAAUCAAUUUUAUUUACUUCUA